This is a non-coding RNA of Saimiri boliviensis boliviensis (Bolivian squirrel monkey), 989 nucleotides long. Lineage: Eukaryota; Metazoa; Chordata; Mammalia; Primates; Cebidae. The record is from RefSeq and is a predicted model, not a curated record.
UGGCAGCCGGUUAGUCUCCACGCGCAUGCGCCCUCCCGCUGGGGCGCCCGCUUCACUCUGGCGUAGACCCCUCCCCAGUUUGGAGCGGCAGCUUUGUUGGACCUUGGGUUGCGGCUCAGCUGGAGACCCCAGUCACCCCUAGGACUGACGGACGUCGUGGAGCUUGAGGACGUGCGGGUGUUCGAUGAGCUUCAGGAUGGCAAUCUCCCGCUCCACCUGAGGGCCAAGAGGGGCGGGGACACGGGAACAGAGGAAGGCGGCCGCGCCGGCCAGUGGCCAGCGUUCAGCAGCAGCAGAGGAUGAACGCCCUUUCCACAGCCGCUCCGGGAGACUCGCCCGCUGCAGCCCACCUUCCCCCCCUCCCUCCUGUUUCCCACUCUGAGCCAGCACACCACAGAGGGGGAGAGCAACCUAGGCCCCACAGCCCCAUCACCCCAACUCGAUGCCUGGAGAGCCGGAGGCCAGAGGACAGUGGAGAGGGAAGAGGCUCCCCAGGACAGAGGCACUCCACCCGUCUGCAGCUGUACUGCAGCAAGAGCCUCAGCUCCAGCCGACCCCACUCCGCAGGCCGCCUCCUUCCCCUCCCCGGCCCUGGAGCCCCUCCAGCCUCUGUCCCUAUGAGAGCUGGAACACUGGGGCCCCAAACUCCAUGUCCCAACACUCGGGGUUCCGACUACCCUCAUCCCUCAGACCCAAGAGUUCAGGCCCCCAGCCCCUCCUCCUUCAGACCUAGGAGUCCAGACCACCAAACCCGCCUCCCUCAGACCUAGGAGUCCAGGCCCCCAGCCCCUCCUCCCUCAGACCCAGGGGUUCAGACCCCAGUCCCUCCUCCCUCAAACCCAGGAGUCUAGACCCCAGCCCCUCCUCUCUCAGACCCAGGAGUCCAGAUCCCAGCCCUUCCUACCUCAAACCCAGGAGUCUAGAACCCCAGACCUUCCUCUCUCAGAUCCAGGUGUCCAGAACCCCAGACCCUCCUCCCUCAGACCCAG